UUCAGACGUUGUUUUUUUACUAACUUUUUUGUGGAAACUGCACAUGAUAUGUUGGGUAAUAAGAACUGAGGAACAAGGUAAAUGGCUGAGCUAUUACUGAUCAAGAUGAAAGGAAGAGAACUGCUCCUCUCUGUUCAGGUCUUUCUUCAGAGCUGAUGAGUUACUCAUUUGCCCUAGGACAGGGCUACGUGACAAGGUAAACAUACUAUGGUUUUUGAGAGGUAUUAAUUCAUACUAUUUUGGGAUUAUAUAAAAAAUACAAUGUACAUCACAGUAUUUCUAUAUAGUAAUUGUCUCACAAAAUAUGUCUAUAUAGUAUAAGAAAAAUUACUACAAAAAUCUCAACAUGGGGGAUAUUCUAAUAUGAGCCUUGGGGCAAGUAUUUUGGGAUAGACUAAAAUAUAUACAGUAUAUAGAUGUUGUAUAAUAUUAAUUUACAUAUUCAUAGUAUGUAUAAUAAACACUGAGCUGUGAACAAGAUAAUACUCUAUAUGUCUUAUAUUCCAUUAAAAGUAAAGAAGAGCCUCAUUCAGUCCUCAAAGGAUAGGAGAGAUUUGCUACUAAUGCCCUUAUAAAUGCUGACAAUCAGGCUGACUUUAAGCUUUGACCUAAAGGGUAGUGUCUCUGCCCUAACAACUAAGGAAGCAAUUUCAGUUGGGACAACCAGAACCCCAAAGGAAAGCCACGCCUGUUCUUCAAGGGAAAAACAGAUGAGGACUAACAUGAUGGACUUUCUCUCAUAACCAUUGUCUUUUUUUCCCCUUCUGUAAUUAUUCAAACAUAGGCGGUCCCAAACCUGUAAGUUCACAGAGUUCACUUAUCAAGAGAACUGUUGGAACUCAGAACAUAAUGUUCCAUAAAAUCAAUGUUAUGCUGCUGGUUUCUAAGGUGCAUGAAUUUUGUUUUUUGUUUUGUUUUGUUUUGUUUUUCUGCCUAAACCCCUCCCUUUGUCUACUGUUGACAGUACCCCUUUCUCUCACUCUGUGGGUCUCUGAGAGUGCCUCCAAACCCCUUGAUCUCCAGUUGUUUGGUCAAAGUUUAGUAAUUAGUCAAAGGAGUGGACACAAUUCAAGUUGGGGCAACCACAGUAGCUCCCUGCUCAGCCAUAGUGAUUUAUCCAGUGGUGGCCAGGUAGCUUAACCUAAGCUGGGCCUGGCUAACCAGAUUCCUUUCCAAUAAUAUAUUCAACUGGAGCUAUGGGGACAACCCCCAAUUUCUCUAGUGUGAGGUUGUGAGGUUGUGAACCCCUUGCUUUUAGAGUCACAUCUCCCAAUGUGUGAAGACACCAUCUUAUAAUAAGAAAGAAUAAAACUAUCAGGCCAAGAGAAACAGAGAUGAGAGAAGCAGCGAGGGAGGGUGAUGACAACAUUGGAACUCUGUUUUUUGUUUUGUUUUGUUUUCUUUUUUUCCUGCCUGAGGACCAGAACUUCUUUGAUUCCAAAGUUGACUGUUUAACUCUUUGAGGAUGGAAGCUCCCUGUCAUCUUAAAACAAGACCAAACAAAACCUCUCUCCCUUUUCCAUGUUUGUUUCCCCUAAGUCUAUUUUUAAUUGUAUUUCUGCCUCUUAUAAACAAGCGUCCUACUUAAAAUGGUUGGAUUCUCAAGGAAGGAUUUAGAAGCCAAUUUUGACCACGAUGUAAGAAAGCAAACCCCUAGUAUGAGACUGGGGACCCUUUCCCUCCUUGUUCCUCUUAUCUGCUUACAACAAGUGUUCAAUGAGAUCAGAUAACUUAAACAGAGAAGGUUCAGGCCUAGGAUUUUGAACUCAAUAUCUCCUUCUCUUGCUGUAAACAUGACGAUAACUGUUUGGUGUAAAGGGAGUGUACAGAUUCACAGAAUUCAUCUAAUUUUCUGGGGACCUCGACCCAAGUAAAGAGCGUAGGAAGACCUUCAAGUGACAUGGUGUGACUCGCUAAUAAAUUCAAUAUUGUGCUGGCUGACUAUUCAUAGCAUAGCUUUUAUGAAAGGGUGUGUGUAACAGUGGAAACAGCUGAGAGGGUCAUGGCUUUAAUUAUCUGAGGAGGGCAUUCAGGUCACACUCAUCCACUCAUUUGUACUUUUAUUUUUCUUUAAAUAGCUGAGUCAUCUCAGUCAUGGAAAAAAUUUAAAAAUACUGCUGAAAAUAGCAAUUACA
Homo sapiens (human) is the source of this 2135-nucleotide long non-coding RNA. RefSeq lists it as uncharacterized. Lineage: Eukaryota; Metazoa; Chordata; Mammalia; Primates; Hominidae. The transcript is spliced from 3 exons. The record is from RefSeq and is a predicted model, not a curated record.